Molecule: ribosomal RNA, 358 nt
Filed under: uncultured Desulfuromonas sp.
Lineage: Bacteria; Pseudomonadati; Thermodesulfobacteriota; Desulfuromonadia; Desulfuromonadales; Desulfuromonadaceae
Description: bacterial SSU rRNA
Rfam family: Bacterial small subunit ribosomal RNA
Source: RNAcentral
CUGGAUCGGUGACAGGUGCUGCAUGGCUGUCGUCAGCUCGUGUCGUGAGAUGUUGGGUUAAGUCCCGCAACGAGCGCAACCCUUGUCCUUAGUUGCCAGCAUUCAGUUGGGCACUCUAAGGAGACUGCCGGUGUCAAACCGGAGGAAGGUGGGGAUGACGUCAAGUCCUCAUGGCCCUUAUGUCCAGGGCUACACACGUGCUACAAUGGCCGGUACAAAGGGGCGCAAGACCGCGAGGUGGAGCAAAUCCCAAAAAACCGGUCUCAGUUCGGAUUGGAGUCUGCAACUCGACUCCAUGAAGUUGGAAUCGCUAGUAAUCGCGUAUCAGCAUGACGCGGUGAAUACGUUCCCGGGCCUU